This 797-nucleotide ribosomal RNA is filed under the name Streptomyces sp. 6-8-11. RNAcentral's name for it is "bacterial SSU rRNA". It matches the Rfam family "Bacterial small subunit ribosomal RNA", at positions 56 to 866 of the family's 1533-position model. RNAcentral also lists the same sequence under 1 other name. Lineage: Bacteria; Bacillati; Actinomycetota; Actinomycetes; Kitasatosporales; Streptomycetaceae. The record is from RNAcentral.
UGCAAGUCGAACGAUGAACCGCUUUCGGGCGGGGAUUAGUGGCGAACGGGUGAGUAACACGUGGGCAAUCUGCCCUGCACUCUGGGACAAGCCCUGGAAACGGGGUCUAAUACCGGAUAUGACCGUCUGCCGCAUGGUGGAUGGUGUAAAGCUCCGGCGGUGCAGGAUGAGCCCGCGGCCUAUCAGCUUGUUGGUGAGGUAGUGGCUCACCAAGGCGACGACGGGUAGCCGGCCUGAGAGGGCGACCGGCCACACUGGGACUGAGACACGGCCCAGACUCCUACGGGAGGCAGCAGUGGGGAAUAUUGCACAAUGGGCGAAAGCCUGAUGCAGCGACGCCGCGUGAGGGAUGACGGCCUUCGGGUUGUAAACCUCUUUCAGCAGGGAAGAAGCGAAAGUGACGGUACCUGCAGAAGAAGCGCCGGCUAACUACGUGCCAGCAGCCGCGGUAAUACGUAGGGCGCAAGCGUUGUCCGGAAUUAUUGGGCGUAAAGAGCUCGUAGGCGGCUUGUCACGUCGGUUGUGAAAGCCCGGGGCUUAACCCCGGGUCUGCAGUCGAUACGGGCAGGCUAGAGUUCGGUAGGGGAGAUCGGAAUUCCUGGUGUAGCGGUGAAAUGCGCAGAUAUCAGGAGGAACACCGGUGGCGAAGGCGGAUCUCUGGGCCGAUACUGACGCUGAGGAGCGAAAGCGUGGGGAGCGAACAGGAUUAGAUACCCUGGUAGUCCACGCCGUAAACGGUGGGCACUAGGUGUGGGCAACAUUCCACGUUGUCCGUGCCGCAGCUAACGCAUUAAGUG